RNAcentral lists this ribosomal RNA (600 nucleotides) under uncultured bacterium. RNAcentral describes it as "bacterial SSU rRNA". It matches the Rfam family "Bacterial small subunit ribosomal RNA", at positions 82 to 678 of the family's 1533-position model. The record is from RNAcentral.
GCUACCUGAUUCAGCGGCGGACGGGUGAGUAAUGCCUAGGAAUCUGCCCGAUAGUGGGGGACAACGUUUCGAAAGGAACGCUAAUACCGCAUACGUCCUACGGGAGAAAGUGGGGGAUCUUCGGACCUCACGCUAUCGGAUGAGCCUAGGUCGGAUUAGCUAGUUGGUGAGGUAAUGGCUCACCAAGGCGACGAUCCGUAACUGGUCUGAGAGGAUGAUCAGUCACACUGGAACUGAGACACGGUCCAGACUCCUACGGGAGGCAGCAGUGGGGAAUAUUGGACAAUGGGCGAAAGCCUGAUCCAGCCAUGCCGCGUGUGUGAAGAAGGUCUUCGGAUUGUAAAGCACUUUAAGUUGGGAGGAAGGGCAGUAAGCUAAUACCUUGCUGUUUUGACGUUACCAACAGAAUAAGCACCGGCUAACUCUGUGCCAGCAGCCGCGGUAAUACAGAGGGUGCAAGCGUUAAUCGGAAUUACUGGGCGUAAAGCGCGCGUAGGUGGUUCAGCAAGUUGGAUGUGAAAUCCCCGGGCUCAACCUGGGAACUGCAUCCAAAACUACUGAGCUAGAGUACGGUAGAGGGUGGUGGAAUUUCCUGUGUAG